CAGGUCUCCUAAAGCAAGGGCAAGGCCCUCUUCAGUGAAAGGAAAAUCCUUACAUGCAACUUCUGGAACUUUAUUCUUGUUUUGGGGUUUUUUUUCCCCUUUCUUUUGUUUUGUUUUUAUUGUUUGGGGUUUUGUUGGUUUUUUUUUUCUUUAACCAAUGGCUGUCCUCAGCCUGCAUGAGACUGAUGCAAUAGAAUUAUUCCAAAUCUAAGGAAAAGCAGUAUUAACAUCAGUUGAUCAAAGCAGAAUAAAAUUUCAAAAUAAUCUUACCCAUCAGUUACCCCGUUCAUAAUCCUCUGUGUCUUCCCAUUAACUUCUGCCAGUGUUACUGUAUUAAAAAAAGAUUUUUUUAACGCUAAUUAAAAAGGUAUGCUUUAAGCUUCAGAAGUUAAAAUAUAAAUUCUGUUGCUUUUCUUCAGCUGCAGAUAACAUUACUUUUUUAUUGCUGUUUAGUUUGAGUAUCAUGUCCUUCGCUAGAAACAAGAAGUGAUGUGAAACAAGGCUGAACUAGUCUGAACUGCAGUGAGACUCGUUCACUGUGUUGGUGGUUCAUCAUCUUAUUUACAGCUUGUUUGGGAUAUUCUGGAGAUUGAGAAAUAUGCCUAUAAAAAGAAAGCUGGAUUGAUCCAGCUCUGUCACAGUGAUAUUGUUCAUUGGUUGUAUGUUUGUUGCAUAAAUAAGAAUUUAGUGUGCGCAGCAGAGGACUGGUACAACCAGUACCUCUUAAUGUGGGAGACAGCCCUGCCAGGGCAGCACUGCCGACCUGGUGAUAGUGUGGCAGCCUGCUGGUGAGCAGCAGAGUUCAUGGUCACUUGAUGGACGUGAACCAUCCUUCUCACCUUUCGUUCUUCAAGCAGGAUGCUUCAGAAUGGAGUGCUCUGCCCAAGCAUGCUCAUGACCAUCUCGUAGCUGAGCACAAUGCUUCACCUCAUCCCAAAAUGCUUUUUUGGCACAGCCAGCCUGAACAUUAUCACCACCAGCAGUAUCCCACCAGCAACAACAGCUACCUGCGAUCUAUUGGCAAAAUCAGACUCCCACUGUUUGCACUUUCUCUCCAUCAUAUCAUGUCUCCAGUUCCAGUUGCUGGGUCUGCAGAAGUGGAAUGGCAGGGCCACAGGCAGUGUUGUCUGUGACAGGUUAGACAUGUGGAUCUGGCCUGCUCAGAAGCAAUUUGUGUGCAUUGCUGAUACUCAGCUGAGGAUCUGAGACUGGGACUGAUCAAGGAACCUGCCCCAAAGAAACACAUCACAGGCCUGUACUUUAAAAACAGCAAAAACCAAACAACACACACCUCUACAGAAAACUUGUUUGAAUGAGCCAGGGAUACAUAUAAUGCUAAAAAAAAAAAUACCUUCCCUUUAAUAUUCAUGCUUUAACAGAAAAAGGGCAUUUUAUGUCCUAAAAUAGCUAAAGAAAGUAUCUUCAGAAAUACUAGUAGUCAUUUAAUUCAUUACAGACAAGCUACACCCAACUUUUAAAUGACUGAAAUGCAAGAGGAUGGGUUUCACUGUAUCCACUCAGGAUACUCUCAGGAAUGGUUGGAAUUUAUGGCACGAGAAAACAAUUCCCAGUAUAAAAAUCACCAAUUUACGAUCUUGUAACUGCUAUGGCAGCUAUGUUAGCAUAGGUCUAGUAAGCAGAGAAACCAGUUCUGCUAUGCAUAAAUCAAACUGUAUGUGGCUUCUCUGCUCUUAGACCUGUCUUAUCUGCCAGAAGUAGAAAGUGCACUACUUGCAGUUUCCCCACAAACCUUCUUUUGUAAAACUUAAAAAAGGGGGGGGUUUGUGUUAUUUCUGCUGCCUGGGUAUUGUUGUCAUCUUGUGAGGCUUAAAAGAUGAAUUUUGCCUGUGUUAAUUUCAGUUCUUCUCACUAAAAGCUGUAACAUGCUAGCUAGUGCGUAUGUCAGUGGCCUGUCCAUGAGUCUUCUUCAUAAAUUUCACUUUUCCUAGCCUUUCCCUUAUAUGCAGGUGAACUCUUCAUCUGUACCCAGACAGCCAGAGCAGAGAACUCUUACAGAAAUUAGAGCAGGAAAAACACCAGUAACCUUUUUUUUUUUUUUUUUUUGUGAGAAGAUGACAGUCAUGUUUUAACUUACAAACUGACUUUAAAGAUUAUAAAUCACAGUCUGUGUAC
Molecule: long non-coding RNA, 2133 nt
Filed under: Cyanistes caeruleus (blue tit)
Lineage: Eukaryota; Metazoa; Chordata; Aves; Passeriformes; Paridae
Description: lncRNA (ENSCCEG00000014956.1)
Source: RNAcentral